RNAcentral lists this ribosomal RNA (507 nucleotides) under uncultured bacterium. Its description in RNAcentral is "bacterial SSU rRNA". It matches the Rfam family "Bacterial small subunit ribosomal RNA", at positions 19 to 518 of the family's 1533-position model. The record is from RNAcentral.
CUGGCUCAGGAUGAACGCUAGCGAUAGGCUUAACACAUGCAAGUCGAGGGGCAGCACGGUGUAGCAAUACACUGGUGGCGACCGGCGUACGGGUGCGUAACACGUAUGCAACCUACCCGCUAUUGGGGGAUAACCCGGGCGAAAGUCGGACUAAUAUCCCAUAUUAUCUUACCGGGCAUCCGGUGAGUCUGAAAGAUUUAUCGAUUGCGGAUGGGCAUGCGGAUGAUUAGCUAGUAGGUGGGGUAACGGCUCACCUAGGCGACGAUCAUUAGGGGUUCUGAGAGGAAGGUCCCCCACACUGGAACUGAGACACGGUCCAGACUCCUACGGGAGGCAGCAGUGAGGAAUAUUGGUCAAUGGGCGCUAGCCUGAACCAGCCAAGUCGCGUGAAGGAUGACAGAAUCUAUGGUUUGUAAACUUCUUUUGCAGGGGAGUAAAGUGCGACACGUGUGUUGUAUUGCAAGUACCCUGCGAAUAAGCAUCGGCUAACUCCGUGCCAGCAGCUGC